Molecule: long non-coding RNA, 219 nt
Filed under: Elaeis guineensis (African oil palm)
Lineage: Eukaryota; Viridiplantae; Streptophyta; Magnoliopsida; Arecales; Arecaceae
Description: long non-coding RNA (EGUI_LNC049669)
Source: RNAcentral
UUGCCGCACCGGCUCCAUUGCCAGAGGGUCCUGCACUAGCUGGUCCCAAUGAGGCGGGUCCCAAUGAGGUGGGUCCCAGUGAUAUUAUUAUAUAUUUAUAUAAUAAAAUUUGACUCUUUUAUUUGGAUAGCUAUCAUACUAAUGAUUUAUUUAUUAUUAUUUCAGGUCAGUCUUCAUCAGUAGUGAGGCAAAGAUGAGGUCCAUCAAAAAAUUUCACUC